Ochotona princeps (American pika) is the source of this 107-nucleotide small nuclear RNA. NCBI's taxonomy places the organism in Eukaryota, Metazoa, Chordata, Mammalia, Lagomorpha, Ochotonidae. The record is from Ensembl.
GUGCUCGCUUCGGCAGCACAUAUGCUAAAAUUGGAACAGUACAGAGAAGUUUAGCAUGGCCCCUGUGCAAGGAUGAUAUGCAAAUUCGUGAUGCAUUACAUAUUUUU